AGUCGAUCUGGAGAGUUGAUCGUCGUUAUUGUUCCCUAGUGUCAUGGGCUGGUUAGCUGGGGGUGUCAUUUUGGCUCUAGUUUAAUUUUAAUUUAUCUAUGGCCUCCCACAGGCUGGAGGAGUGGUGUAUGAUUCGGUAGGAUGGCUGUCUCUUUCCCGCUGCAAGGACCCUUGUCUUCCUUGUCUGUUUUUAUACUGUUGGCCUCUCUUAAUUUUAAGCAUUUUUUGCUUGUGAAUCUGGAGCUAUAAUAGUCUGGCUGGCGGUUUGAUUUAAUUCAUUCAACAAGGAAGGAUUGGUUGGUGUAAUCUUAGGUCGCCAUCAGCUUUCCUUGCGUGUUUUUCGGUGUUGAUGGUGGCUUGUGCGUGCCAUAGUAUUCUCGGCAUGGAAUCUCGCACGUCCCCGCAUGGCCACAUCAACUUGUUUGCCAACCACCAUGUGGUGUGGUGUGACCAUCUGGAGGGCAAACAACAGUAAAAUAAUGCAUACCCAAGUUUUUUUAGCACACCCUCAAACCGACUAUCAUCCGGUCGCAUUUUGGCAUCCAACACCGUACCCCAUUGUGUGGCAGCUGUUUGGACGUUCGUAAAGCCUCCCGAUUUGUCUCCGGUUUGCGGAAAAAAGGGACAUCUUGACCGAACUUCUCAUUGCAUGAAGAAGGUGUCGCGUAUUCAUGACGGCAUGCGCCGCUCCAGAGCGCCAGCGUGCGUUCAUGCCGGCGCAUGAGCGGACGCAACUUCUCAUUGGAGACGGCAUUGUAGCGAUGCGCUGCCUGAGGGAGUCGCCCUAUCUCCGCAGUGGAUGGUGUCUGUGAAGAUUGUCCCCUACUAUAAGGUAACAAAGGAUGUCUCUUUUCUCAAAUGCAAGAAGUUGCUAGGAAGCACGUGGAGAUGACAUUUGGAUUGCUCCAAUCUCGAUGGAUAAUUAUUCGCGGAGCUACAAAUAUGUGGGAUCCUGAGACAUUGUGGAAGUGAUGACAUGUCGUGUAAUUUUCCAGAACAUGGUUGUGAAGGCUGAGUGUGAUGGGGCUGCCCGUACACACGAUUUUGAAAUGCCUGGAGUGAAUGUACGUCCGGAAUAGGUUCCAGAGCAUGUUGUCAACUUCUCAAAGAUUCAUCGACAACUCCAAGGUCAUUAGGAGCACGCUCAGUUACUAAAUAAUUAUGUGGAGCAUAUGUGGAUCCAGAUCGAAAACCAUUAAAAUUAAUGUUCAACUAUGCACUAGAUAUGCAUUGAUAACUUCGAUUAUGCACACGGAAGUACUCAAUAAUCUUGUUGUCCAUAUGUGGAUCCAGAUCUUAAUGUUCGAUUAUGCACUAGAGAUGCAUUGAUAACUUCGAUUAUGCACAUGCAAGUACUCAAUAAUCUUGUUCUGCAUAUGUGGAUCCACACCAGAAACCAUCACACUGAGUAAUACAUAUGUUUCAACUAUCUAUUUCAUUCUAAUUAUUUAUAGUUGAAUUGUUGUGUGUUUGCAUUCAUUGUUGUGCGCAAUUUCUAUGGUUGAAUGAUCUACUUGCAUGGAAUUGAUGUUUUGAAGAUGAAGGGUGUGGUUGCCCGGACGGAAAACUGGGGGCUCGCCGGCUAGUGUCCAUUGCAUACAUCUGUGGACAUAUAGGGAGCACGUUGGCAAGUGCGGUUGGAGAUGCUCUUACCUACCAAUUGGGCCUAGGACUUUUGUUAGAUUUCAUACGGGUUUUUGAACAUUAGCAUAUUAUUAAUCAAACUAGAAAGUUACACAUAGUCUCUUGGAUACAUUCUGAAGAAGAACAAAAGGCACAAAGAUUACUAAAGUUCACAGAAGCCCUGGCCAAACAAUGAGCCACAUCAUUACCAUGCGACGCACAAACAUAAAAAGCACCGAAGAGAAAACGUUGGACGCAAAUUUGAUGUCAGCCACCACCGAUCUGACCGAAGAUCUGUCGUGAGAAGAGAGUGCAGGCGUUGGAUCAGCGACGGACAAUCAGAGGCAAAGAUGACCUUGUGGAAUUUCUCCUCCCGAGCCAGGAAGACCGCCCGGCGAAGCGCCUUCGCUUCAGCCAGUUCAGGAGGGAGCUCCCCUUGGGAAGACUCACAACAGGCAAUGACACAGCACCCGGCAUGAUCAAGAUCCAUCACGCCUAUUAGAGUAUAUUCGGCCGGUUCAGUUUUUGAGACCAUACAGUGAUUUGUUAAGGAGACAGACAAGAGUUGGUGAGGAGGGAUUUUCGAAGCCAGAGGGUUGCUGGCAGUACACAGUUUCAUUUAGUGUUCCAUGGAGAAAAGCAUUUUUGACAUCUAGUUGGUGAAUAGGCCAUGAAGAGGAAACUGCAAGACUAAGAACAACACUAAUGGUGCUAGGUUUUACCACAGGAGAAAAAGUCUCAUCAAAAUCAAUGUCAUGCUGCUGGGAAAAACCACGACAAACCCAGCGAGCUUUGUAGCAAGCAAGAGAAUCAUCGGCAUGAAACUUGUGGCGAAAAACCCACUUGCCAGAGACAAUAUUAACACCAGGUGGUUUUGGAACUAAAGUCCAGGUGUUCUGCUGUAGAGCAUCGAAUUCGUCUUAGCAGAAAACCAAAGAGGAUCAAGAAGAGCUCGUUUAUAUGAAGUGGGAAUAGGGGAGACAGUCGGUGUGGCCGUGAGAUUAAGACGGCGAGUAGGGAGAUGAAAACCGUGUUUGCCACGAGUACACAUGACAUGAUCGUUGGUGGGAGCUUGAAUGGGUACAUCAUGUGGAGGAAUGGGUGGUGACGGACUAGGGGCUAUAGGAGAAGGAGAUGAAGCAGCAGGUGUAGAAGAUGGGUCGAGGGAUGAGAAGGGGAAAGGUUGUUUGUAACAAGAGUGGAAGGCGGACUGGCUUGUGUAGUAUCGGCCGUGGACGGGGUGGUAGUGGUGCUGGUUGAUGCGGUGGCGGGUGGGGAAGGUUCCGCGGCCGAGAUGAUGGCAAGAAGAGAAGAUGGAUGAGUAGUGGAAGAUGGUGAGGGAGAGGAAGAGGCAGUGGUGGCAACGGCAAAGGGAAAAACAUGCUCAUCAAAGGUGACAUGUCUCGAGAUAAACACAUGACCGGAAGAGGGAUCAAAACAGCGAUGCCCUUUGUGAUCAUCGGAGAGGCCAAGAUAAAUGCAGGGUAGAGAUUGUGGGGCUAGUUUGUGAGUUGUGAUGGAUGUGAUGUUAGGAAAGCAUAGGCAACCAAAUACCCGAAGAGAAAGGUAGUCGGGAUCAGAUAGAAGAAGAUAUUGAAAGAGUGUAUAGCAAGGACACGUUUUGGUGGGGCGGAUGUGUUGACACCUGAUUUUGGCACAAUGGAGAAUGCAAUGGAGAUGGCCUCAAAUGACAAAAUAUUCUAAAUGAGAAAUUUCACAUUGCCGAGUGGAACAACUUUGAUGUUUGGACCAUAAUCAUUCGGCAUCAUAUCAAAGACCAAAACUACACUCAGAUUGUCAUGUAGGUGUUCUGAGUGCUUUUUGGUCAAGUACGCCUCCAGGACAAUCUCGAAUGAAGGAAUGCUCUCCAUGAAUUGUCUUCGUCUCGUCGAAUCGGUCGAUUUUGAUAUAAAAAUCAUCUCAAUCCGAGUUCGUAUGCAAAAGUUAGAACUAUCUGGAUGCAGCCGUGUCAAGAGGCGAAAUAUGACGCGGAAGACCAGACAUGUCUUGGCAAGUGUCUGAUGUAAUGCGUGAGUGUUUUGGCCCAGAAGAUGGCCUCGAAUCGGAAAACGUUCAACACGAAAGUUUUUCGUCUCGUCAAAACAGUCAACUUUGCUUUUGGACACAUUUUCAUCCGAGGUCAUUUACUGCCUCAAAAACCUUGUCGGGGAAAGCUUGCCGCCGUGAACAGUAACCUUGCCGGGGAAAGCUUGCCGCCGUGAACAGUAACCUUGCCGGGGAAAGCUUGCCGCUGUGAACAGUAACCUUGCCGGGGAAAGCUUACCGUCGUGAACAGUAACCUUGCCGGGGGAGAGCUUGCCGCCGUGAACAGUAACCUGCCGGGGAAAGCUUGCCGCCAUGAACAGUAACCUUGCCGGGAAAGCUUGCUGCCGUGAACAGUAGAAACUGUCGAGGCCAAUCCGACCAGAUGCUGAAGAUGGGCUCAAAUACUUAUCUAGAUGGCUUCGGAUGAAGAAGUGUUCAACACAGGAGUUGUUCGUAACGUUGAAAUGGUCAACUUUGCUUUUGGAGUCAUCAUCAUCCGACGUAGUAUACGACCUGCAGAGACGCUGCAAGAGUCGGACGGUCCAGUCAGCUACAUGAACGAGUCCGACUCGAAAUUAGAGAUGACCUUGUGGAGUAUUCAAGAUGGCCUUAUUUGGAAAAGUGAUCAACAUACGGAUUGUUGGCCUCGUCGAAGCACACAUAAUUGAUAUUUGAACCGUCUCCAUCGGAAGUCAUAUGCAGAUUCCACAGCCCAUGCAAGGAACAAGAUAGAAGAUUGGACCAGAUUCGGGCUGAAUCCGAGUGGGACCAGAACUAGGAUUCUAGGACGUGAAUUGAUGUAAUUUUCUUGUAAGGAAAGCCUAGAUAAAUCCUUUGCUUGUACGGGAAGUCCAGCCGCCUCUUAUAUAUGUUGGGGGUGACGGCCGAUUGAAACAACACACAAUCGAAAAAAUCAAUAUACUACUUUUUCAUCUACGUUUUAUCUCUCCACCGUUUUUCUAUCUCAUUCUUCGCUGUUCUUCGUGUUUGAGAGCUGUGAAUCCCGAGGCUCUAGGGGCGAGCGAAUCGACCUAGGGCAGCCCAUAGCCGCCGCACUCCCUGAUGCGGUCCCUCCCGGGGGUGUGGGGUUUUCGGGUCUGCAAAAGCGCCCGUCGACUGUCUUGCGUAUUGCGCUGUCGGUCGGGUCUCCUUCGAUGUGAGCUGCGGUGCAUCACCCCCGGCGUCGAGGGUACACGUGGCGUGUUCGUGUGUCAACACACUUUUUGGCGACUCCGCUGGGGACGAAGAUCAAUCAUCAUCAUCCACCAUGUCCGAUCUUCCCAAGCCAUCUGAGGUAGAUGCUGAUAACAUCAUUAAGCCCAGUCUUGAUGAGAUAUCGGCUGAUCAUCGCCAAGUCUAUGAGGAGUACAAGAAGACACGUGAGGAGAAGGACCUGCAGGAGUUCCUUGCAAAAUUCAAGAAAGAUCGCCAAGGCAACAUCACUCCGAUUGGAGAAAUCAAGUUUCCUCCUCUUCAAGCCGAGCAGGUUAAACUCGCUGUGAGUACUACCUUUUCUCCUGAGCAGUGGGCUGAGAUUGAGAGUCGUAUUGCUGAUGGUAACAAUCUGGUCUAUCAAACUUUCAUAGAAAAUACCAAUGCUCAAAAAAAUAUAUCUCAAUCAUCUAGUGGUAAUGAUGGUGUAGCUGCUAGUGUGCAAAACCCUAAUCUGGCUUUACCUAUUGCAUCGGCGCUUCCUGUGCCAAUGGCUUAUUGUCCUACCCAAACAAAUCAGAUUGUGGCUACACCCAUUAACCCUAUUAUGAGCGUGCCAGGUUCGGUGGCAACGCCGAACUAGACCCUACCUACAGCUACAUCCACUCGACCAUUACCAAAAUAUGGGUCGACGUACAUGCCACAAUUCCUACCUACAGCUAGUAACCCUACUCCUCCUAUGCCACUGCAACAAGCGUCAUCGUCCGCUAUGGAUGAUGGUCUAGCUAAUCUUAGAGAGGAGAUGGCUAAGAUGCUUCGAGAGAAUUUUGGAGUUGAGUUACCUCGGAAUCGGAUUUACCAAAAGUCAUACCCCGAGUACUUUGAUGCCAUCCAGUGCCCUCCAGGAUAUAAAAUUCCAGAUUUUGUUAAAUUUAAUGGAGAAGGCAUAAAAACCACAUGGGAGCAUGUUAGUCAAUAUUUAGCACAAUUGGGUGAGGCAGGCUCAUUGAACGAAUUGAAAGUGCGUUUAUUUCCUUUAUCAUUAACUGGUACCGCAUUUUCAUGGUUUUCUUCUUUACCCCAUGGUUCCAUUCGGGUUUGGUCGCAGCUAGAGCAGAAGUUUCAUGAUCACUUUUAUAGCGGCGACAAUGAACUCAAGUUGUCACAUCUAACAUCGGUUAAGCAGAAGCAUGAUGAAUCGGUCUCCGAUUAUGUCAAGAGAUUUAGAGAAACAAAAAACCGGUGUUUUAGUUUGGUGAUAACCGAGAGAGACUUGGCAGACCUAGUGCUGAGUGGUUUGAGAACUCCAAUCAGAGAAAAGCUAGAAGGCUAUGAGUUCUUAAAUAUCAACCAAGUCUUACAAAGGGCUUUGGCUCAGGAAAGCCGAAGCAAAGACCUCAAAGAAGUGCAUAGAUACAAAGCCGAUCGUCCAAAGAUGAAUAUGAUCGAAUAUGAUGGUGAUCACUCGGACGAUGAGGGUGAUGUUUUUUCUACUGAAUUUGUUUGGCCAUCUAAGGACAAACCAUUUACUUGCAAUGAUCUGAAACCGAUUCAUAAGAAUCGUGAUGAAGAGAUGAAGUUUACUUUUAACGUUGCCAAGUGUGAUAAAAUAUUUGAUGCUUUGCUGCAAGCUAAAAUUAUUAGAAUAACUCAUACUUUGCCGCCGUUUGAAGAGCUGAAACGGCGCACUUAUUGCAAGUAUCAUAAUUCUUUUUCUCAUGCUACUAACGAUUGCAAUGUUUUUCGACGACAGAUACAAUCGGCCAUUAAUGACGGACGAUUGAACUUUUCUGAAAUGCAAGUUGAUAAACAGCCUUUUCCAAUGAAUACCAUGGAUUUGGAGGGGAAGAAGCUACUCAUUCGGCCGGAGGUAGCCGAAUCUGCUAAUAAAGCUAAUGUCAUUGUCGGUGAGCCCAGGAAAGACAAGGAGGACAACAAGGUCUUGGGGAGACAGGUUGUGCUUGAUAAGCAACCCGAUGGCAAGGAAGUGAUCAAAAUCACCAUCAAGAAUCCUACACUCGGGGGGCAACCGCAAGUGCAAGAAAAUACUCGUGUUAAAUUUGUCAAGCCCAAGAGUCCAGAAGUUGGCAAGUGGAAGAAGAAUGAAGCUAAAGUGCAGCGCAAGCGGAUCAAGCCAACUUUUGAUAUAUUGCUGUCCAAGUAUGCUAACCAGUCGGCCGGUUCUAGUUUCAAUCGACCGACUCAUCUGAAACGACCAAGGUCACCAUCAGCUGAUAUGUUCAGUCGGUAUACAAAACCGAGUGGACCAAGGGCGCAGUUUUCAGAAGAGCAGAGGCAAUCUGUGUGGGAUCGACUUGAUUACUCAUAUAAUGGUCGACUCAACAUCGGUGACUAUCAGUCGGCUGGUCAAAAUAUGCGACCGAGUGGAAAUUUCAUGCAUCUGGAAAGUCGAAAAGAAUGGCGUGUUAAGUCACCAAGUGUUGCAGCAGUUGAGUCGGGAAAAAGCAAGGAGAAAACGGAUGCCGACUCACUUAUCUUGGGCACCAAAACAUUUGCCAUACAGCAGCCAAUUGUGCAUAGCAAACCGACUGAGCCGAUACUUUCUAUCGCGCCAAAGCACUCGGCUAAUGACCAUGAAGCAAGCACCAGCCGAGUAAAAACGAGAGAUCCUAAAUACACUCAGCCAAAGUGGUGUCCUCCAGGGCUAACAAAGACACAGAAGAGGAAACUACAGAGGUUAAGGAGCCAAGAGAUGGCAGAACAAGAGGCUGAGAAGCAAAGGGAUAAGUUGUUCAAUGACACUCGGCCUAUGGUACCCACAAAAAAAGUGUGGAGGCCCAAACAAAUACGAGAUACAGUGGCCUCUACGCCUAUCACAGCAGCACCUACACUACCAAAAAAGGACGACGCAAUCAUUGCAUCGUCUACGUUACCUAUUGCUUCCUCUUCACUCGGACAAAUUUCUGAAUCGGUGGAUGCACUUGAGGAGGAGGCUGAUAUGUUGGACUAUGAGUCUACACCGGUUCAUGGAGGUAUGGAUAUCAAUAUGGUGUAUUACUUACCUGCUGAGUUUCGUGCUGUAGAUGAGGAAGGGGAGGUGGCUCAGCUGGAUUUUGGCCCUAAAAACGCGAUAUUCGAGAAGCCAAAAGAACCAGUAACGCAUCUGAAACCAUUAUAUCUCAGAGGUCAUAUCAAUGGGUCGCCCCUCACUCGGAUGCUUGUUGAUGGUGGUGCUGUGGUAAAUCUUAUGCCCUAUUCGGUCUUCAAGAAAUUGGGUUUGCCUGAUGAAGAAUUGAUCAAGACCAAUAUGGUGCUUAACGGGUUUGAAGGCAAAGAGAAAACUAAAGCCAAAGGUGUGAUGUAUGUGGAGCUUACAGUCGGAAGCAAAACUUUGGCUACUGCAUUCUUUGUCGCUGAGGUGCAAGGUAACUACAACGUCAUACUAGGCCGUGAUUUGGUUCAUGCAAACCAGUGCGUACCAUCCACUAUGCACCAGUUUUUGAUUCAGUGGGUUGAUGAUGAAGUGGAAGUCAUUCAUGCGGAUAACUCGGCCUAUGUUGCUUUGGCCGAUGCGUCGGUGGAUUGGCAACAUCCCAAUGCUACUUGCUUGACGGGACGUGACUUAUCAGAGUUUGAUUUUCUCAGCGCAACCAAGAAUGGUUUUGUGCCCGUCUCUUUAAAGCCGACUGAAUGCAAUCGGCUCCAAGGUAUGAUAUGUUUAAAUGGAUUCUAGCUCUGAGUGGUUACAAAAACGUCUUGUGAAAUAUCGGUCCAGCGAGAACGAUAUGUAUGAGUCUAUAGAGGAGUUGGAUGACAUGGAUAAACUUGGACAAGGUUUUAUGUCGGCCGAUCCAUUAGAAGAGGUAGAUAUUGGAGAUGGUUCAGUCACUCGACCGACAUUUAUAAACAAAAAUGUGAAAGCCGAUUGUAAAGCUAAGUUGAUCGAGCUAUUGAAAGAAUAUGUUUGUUGCUUUGCAUGGGAAUAUCAUGAGAUGCCAGGGUUAAGCCGAGAGCUAGUGGAGUAUCGGUUGCCUAUAAAGGCCGGUUUUAGACCUUAUAAAUAGUCGGCCAGAAAAUUUAAUCCGAAAACAUAUGACCGGAUCAAGGAAGAGAUCGGUCGACUGCUUGAAGCUAAUUUCAUUCGACCUUGCAGGUAUGCCGAGUGGAUUUCUAACAUUGUCCCAGUGGAGAAGAAAGGAUCCGGCAAGUUGAGGGUGUGCAUUGAUUUCAGAGAUUUGAAUAGGGCUACACCCAAAGAUGAGUAUCCUAUGCCAAUAGCCGAUAUGCUUAUUAAUGAUGCUUCUGGGCAUAAGGUUAUUAGCUUUCCAGAUGGUAAUGCCGGAUACAAUCAAAUUUUUAUGGCCGAAGAGGACAUGUACAAGACUGCUUUUCGAUGCCCUGGUUUCGUUGGUUUAUUCGAGUGGACAGUGAUGACAUUCGGAUUAAAAAAUGCUGGAGCCACAUAUCAAAGGGCUAUGAAUUUGAUUUUCCAUGAUUUACUCGGUAUCAUACUUGAAGUUUAUAUUGAUGAUAUUGUUGUCAAAUCGGAUGCUUUUGAAUCUCACUUGGCCGAUUUGCGUUUAGCUUUUGAAAGAAUGAAAAAGUAUGGACUGAAGAUGAAUCCUUUGAAGUGUGCUUUUGGCGUGUCAGCUGGUAAGUUUUUGGGUUUCAUUAUUCAUGAAGAUGGCAUAGAGAUUGAUCCCAAAAAUAUAGAGGCUAUACAGAAAGUGGAGGCUCCAACAUGCAAGAGAGAUAUGCAAAAAUUCCUUGGCAAGGUCAACUAUUUGAGAAGGUUCAUAGCUAAUCUGUCAGGGAAAGUUGAUGCAUUUACUCCUAUCCUUCGGUUAAAGGAUGAUGCUGAUUUCACUUGGGGGGCAAAACAGCAAGAAGCAUUUGAUAUAAUCAAGAAUUAUUUGUGCACUCCUCCGGUGAUGAGAGCGCCCAAGCAUAGGGAACCCUUCAGACUUUACAUUGCAGCAGAGGAAGAAGUUAUUGGUGUUGUUCUAACUCAAGAGACCGAAGGAAAAGAGCAUGCCAUCACUUAUUUGAGCUGCCGCUUAUUAGACGCAGAGACAAGGUAUACAUUUAUUGAGAAAUUAUGUCUAUGCUUAUAUUAUGCUUGCACAAAACUGAGACAUUAUUUAGUGCCGAGUGCUUGUGUAGUAGCUUGUCAAACCGAUGUCAUUAAAUACAUGUUACAUAGGCCAAUUCUUAGUGGUAGAAUUGGCAAGUGGGCUUAUGCUUUAAUUGAAUAUGAUUUGGCUUAUGAAUCUCUAAAGUCCAUGAAAGGCCAAAUUGUUGCUAAUUUCAUUGUUGAACAUCGGAUUAAUGACAAGCAUGAUGUUGAUAUGAACCUUAUUUCAUUAGUACCAUGGAUAUUAUACUUUGAUGGGUCGGUUUGUAGCAAUGGCCAAGGUGUUGGUACUGUUUAUAUAUCUCCUCAUGGUGCUGUUUUUGAAGCCUCAUGCCGCUUAGAAUAUUUUUUCAUAAACAAUCAAGCCGAAUAUGAAGCAUUGUUAUUCGGCCUAGAGAUGUUACUUGCUAUAGGUGUUACACAUAUUGAUGCUUAUGGUGAUUCAUUACUAGUGGUACAGCAAAUAUCCAAAGUCUUUUAGUGUUUGGACGAAUCACUUAAUGUUUAUCUGAUAAAUGUCUAGAUAUAAUCUCUACUUUGGAUUGUUUUAGCAUUGCACAUAUAUCUAGACAUGACAACUGGAAAGCAAAUGAGUUGGCACAACAAGCAUCUGGAUACCAUGUUGAUCAUGGCAUGUUUCAUAUUUCUCAAAAUCCGAUGUCUUGUCUUACCAGUAUAGAAGAGGCCAAACCAGAACCCACUGAUUCGGUCAUUAACAAAAAAUCUAGUGCAGGUGACAAUUCCGACUGGAGGAAGCCCAUUGUUGCUUACUUGCGUAAUCCGAGUGAAAGGGUGGACAGGACUGUUUGGCGUAUGGCUUUUAAAUAUACUAUGAGGGAUGAUGAUCUUUAUCGCCGAACAGUUGAUGAUGUUCUUUUAAAGUGCUUGGAUGAGGACCAAGCAAGAGUUGCUAUGGGAGAGGUACAUGAAGGCAUUUGUGGUACUCACCAGUCGGCUCCCAAGAUGAAAUGGUUAUUACGACGUGCUGGGUUUUAUUGGCCGACCAUGAUUAAUGAUUGCUUCAGAUAUUAUAAAGAGUGCGAAGCUUGUCAAAAAUUUGGUGAUAUUCAAUUAGCUCCCGCUGCUAUGUUGCAUCCUAUUAUCAAGCCGUGGCCUUUCAGAGGAUGGGGUUUAGACUUUAUUGGGCAAAUCCAUCUGUCUUCUUCGAAGGGGCAUCGGUUCGUAUUGGUGGCAACUGAUUAUUUCACUAAGUGGUCUGAAGCAGUACCUCUCAAGAACAUGACGCAUACGAAGGUAAUUAAAUUCAUAAUCGAGCACAUGAUUCAUAGAUUCGGUAUUCCUCAAACGUUAACUAUAGAUCAAGGUUCAUCUUUUAUGUCACACCAAGUCAGAGAGUUUGCCGAAUCUUAUAACAUAAAGUUGCUCAAUUCCUCCCCAUAUUAUGCCCAAGCUAAUGGACAAGCUGAGUCUAGCAAUAAAAUUUUAAUCAAGCUCAUCAAGAAGAAGAUUGAGGAUAAUCCAAGGAGAUGGCAUGACUUGUUGUCUGAGGCAUUAUGGGCACAUAGAAUCUCAAGGCAUGGUGCUACGGAAGUGACUCCAUAUGAGCUAGUAUAUGGUCAGGAGGCUGUUUUACCAGUGGAAGUAAAUUUGAAUGCUUUGAGAAUAGCCAAGCAAAAUGAUUUAUCGGCAAUAGACUUCUAUAACUUGAUGAUGGACAACAUUGAUGAGGUUGCUGAUAAACGUUUGGCUGCUUUGAAUGCCAUAGAGAGAGAUAAGUUGAGGGUGGCAAGGGCUUACAAUAAGAAAGUAAAGUUGAAGAAUUUUCAAGUUGGUGACCUCGUCUGGAAAGUGAUUCUACCGAUUGGUUCAAGAGAUAGAAAAUUCGGGAAGUGGUCUCCAAGUUGGGAAGGUCCUUUUAGGAUUACAAGAGUUGUUCCCGGAAAUUCAUAUUUGGUGGAAUCGAUACAAGGGGCGUUUUUACCUCGAGCUCUCAAUGGCAAAUAUUUGAAGAAGUACUACCCGAGUGUGUGGCAGGAAGCCUAAGUAGGCAAUGGCCGAUAUACGAUUAUCGCCCUUAGCACAAACAUGGCCGGUACAUAAUUAUCGCCCUGAGAAGAAUAGAUGGCCGAUGGAGUGUUGACAUCGUUCUUAGAACAAACAUGGUGCAAAUUAUUUUUCGGCAUGCAAGCUUUGCCGAAAAACAGGGGGGCCUGUGUUGACACCUGAUUUUGGCACAAUGCAGAAUGCAAUGGAGAUGGCCUCAAAUGACAAAAUAUUCUAAAUGAGAAAAUUCACAUUGCCGAGUGGAACAACUUUGAUGUUUGGACCAUAAUCAUUCGGCAUCAUAUCAAAGACCAAAACUACACUCAGAUUGUCAUGUAGGUAUUCUGAGUGCUUUUUGGUCAAGUACGCCUCCAGGACAAUCUCGGAUGAAGGAAUGCUCUACAUGAAUUGUCUUCGUCUCGUCGAAUCGGUCGAUUUUGAUAUAAAAAUCAUCUCAAUCCGAGUUCGUAUGCAAAAGUUAGAACUAUCUAGAUGCAGCCCUGUCAAGAGGCGAAAUAUGACGCGGAAGACCAGACAAGUCUUGGCAAGUGUCUGAUGUAAUGCGUGAGUGGUUUGGCCCAGAAAAUGGCCUCGAAUCGGAAAACGUUCAACACGAAAGUUUUUCGUCUCGUCAAAACGGUCAACUUUGCUUUUGGACACAUUUUCAUCCGAGGUCGUUUACUGCCUCAAAAACCUUGCCGGGGAAAGCUUGCCGCCGUGAACAGUAACCUUGCCGGGGAAAGCUUGCCGCCGUGAACAGUAACCUUGCCGGGGAAAGCUUGCCGCCGUGAACAGUAACCUUGCCGGAGGAGAGCUUGCCGCCGUGAACAGUAACCUACCGGGGAAAGCUUGCUGCCGUGAACAGUAGAAACUGUCGAGGCCAAUCCGACCAGAUGCUGAAGAUGGGCUCAAAUACUUAUCUAGAUGGCUUCGGAUGAAGAAGUGUUCAACACAGGAGUUGUUCGUAACGUCGAAACGGUCAACUUUGCUUUUGGAGUCAUCAUCAUCCGACAUAGUAUACGACCUGCAGAGACACUGCAAGAGUCGGACGGUCCAGUCAGCUACAUGAACGAGUCCGACUCGAAAUUAGAGAUGACCCCGUGGAGUAUUCAAGAUGGCCUUAUUUGGAAAAGUGAUCAUCUUACGGAAUGUUGGCCUCGUCGAAGCACACAUAAUUGAUAUUUGAACCGUCUCCAUCGAAAGUCAUAUGCAGAUUCCACAGCCCACGCAAGGAACAAGACAGAAGAUUGGACCAGAUUCGGGCUGAAUCCGAGUGGGACCAGAACUAGGAUUCUAGGACGUGAAUUGAUGUAAUUUUCUUGUAAGGAAAGCCUAGAUAAAUCCUUUGCUUGUACGGGAAGUCCAGCCGCCUCUUAUAUAUGUUGGGGGUGACGGCCGAUUGAAACAACACACAAUCGAAAAAAUCAAUAUACUACUUUUUCAUUUACGUUUUAUCUCUCCACCGUUUUUCUAUCUCGUUCUUCGCUGUUCUUCGUGUUUGAGAGCUGCGAAUCCCGAGGCUCUAGGGGCGAGCGAAUCGACCUAGGGCAGCCCAUAGCCGCCGCACUCCCUGACGGGGUCCCUCCCGGGGGUGUGGGGUUUUCGGGUCUGCAAAAGCGCCCGUCGACUGUCUUGCGUAUCGCGCUGUCGGUCGGGUCUCCUUCGACGUGAGCUGCGGUGCAUCACCCCCGGCGUUGAGGGUACACGUGGCGUGUUCGUGUGUCAACAGGAUGUUAAGAAUAAGGGUAGCAGUGCGUAGAGCUUCGACCCAAAAACAGGGAGGAAGAGAUGCUUGGAUAAGUAGAGUGCGUAGGAUAUCGUUGAUGGAACAAAGAGAGCGCUCGGCCUUCCCGUUUUGAGAGGAGGUAUAGAGACAAGAAAAAGCGUAGAAGAAUGCCAUGGGAGAGGAAAAAUGUGUGGUUGGUGAUGUUGUCGAACUCGCACUCAUUGUCACAUUGGAUAAAGCGAAUAGGUAGCCCAAAGUGUGUUUGGACGUAGGUGCAAAAGGUGAGAAAAAGUUGAUGUACAUCAGAUUUAGCACGUAGAGGGAACGUCCAUAUGUAGUGAGAAUAAUCAUCUAAAAUCACAAGAUAAUAUUUAUAUCCAGAAACACUAGGAAUAGGAGAGGUCCAUAGAUCACAAUGUAAAAGCUCAAAAGGACAAGUGCUAAGAGUAGAUGAUGUUCCAAAAGGAAGUCGAACAUGUUUGCCGCAUUGGCAUGCCUUACAAAAAGAAGAAUCAUGUGAAACACUAGUGCUAGGAAUAGAAAAUUCUUGUAGUAGAGAUGACAACGUUGAAUUAUUGGGGUGACCGAGCCGACGAUGCCACAGAUCAACUAAAGCCAGCAUGGCGCGAGGAGAGGGUGCAUGCGCUCCAUGAAGUGGAUAGAGAUCGUCUGUGCUAUUGUAGCGAGCAAGAAGUGUCUCCGUUCUUAGAUCCUUCACAGAUAGACCAGAAGGAUCAAAUGCUGGAAUGACAAGAUUUUCGAUGAUAAAUUGGCGAACAGAAAUAAGGUUUUUGAUUAAAGAAGGAACAACAAGAAUAUUGCGGAGUUGAAAAUUGGCAUGAUCGGAUUGUAUAGAAGAGUGGCCGGUGCAAGAGACGGGAACAAGGGAGCCGUCUCCUAUGGUGAUGGAAGAAAGGAAAAUAAUCUAACAGAAUAUCCAUAUUUGAAGACAUAUGUGAGGAUGCAUCGGAAUCGAAAAUCCAAUCUGUACCUUGGUUAUUGAGUGUAAAGUUGUUCAUGGCGGCAAUGAAGGCGGCUUAAUCCCAGGCUCCCUGCGGUGGAGGAGUUGGCGGUCCGGGCGCAGGCGCGUGCGCGUAUGGCAUGGGUGAAGCAGGGCCGUAGGCGUAGGGCACAUAGGGGACCGGUAGGUAGCCAUGAGGUGAUCCUUGGACGACUCGCGUUGGAGAGGUCGUGGCAGUGUAGACAUGAGGCGGUGGCCGCGGACCAAGGAGACCGGGAGCACCGGUAGCAGGGCGAAGGCCCGGGCUCCAAUUGCCGGUGUACGCGGGAGGAGCGCCGUAUGGAGACGGCGCCGACCAGGGCAUGGGCCACGCCUGAACUAGACCAGUCCAGGGGUCUUGCUAAGGGUGCCAAGACACGGGAGCAGUGGCCGAUGGAGGAGGCGCCAGUGGUGAAGCCAAUGGUGAUGGAGCAGCAGGUCGAGGCUGCGGCGGCCGGUAGACGGGGUUUUUGCCCCGAUAGUUAGGACUCGGGCGCCAUCCUGGAGGAGCCGAGGAUGUAGGCGUCGGUGGAGCAGGCGAUGGAGGCGGCGCAGAUGGUGCAGAGAGCCGGGCGACGUGAAACACCUGGGAAGGACGCGUCGCCUUGCGCGCCUGGUUCUGUGCCUCGAGCUGCAAGAUGGAGCGGACCUCCGCGAAGGAGGGGUAAGGUCGCAAAAUAGGGAUGAAGGCGGCCUGCUUCUCGAACUGUUCCCCGAGGCCGACGAGGAGAGCUUUGAUGAGGGUCCGAUCGUCAACGUGAUCACCGAGCUCACGGAGUUCAUCGCCGAUCGCCUUGAUGCGUUGGCAAUAGGCGGUGACCGGAGAGUCGCCUUGGAUGCUGGUGCGGAGCUCGAUGUGUAGCGCGUUAACACGCGCAUCGAAGUUGUCCUAGAAGAGCUGCUGAAGAGAGGCCCAAAGUUUAGCGGCGGUGUCGUCGUCGUUGGAGACGAGGUUGAAGAGCUCGGUGGAGAUGCGGGUAUAUAUCCAUUGGAUGACGGUGGGUCAUCCUUGAUCCAGCGAGGGUCGGUCGGCCGCGGGGGAGCGGCUGGAUUGAUGUGAUGGCGGAGACCGCAGCGGCCGAGGUGGACGUGGAAGAGGUGGUGCCUAUGGUAGAAGUUGUGGGCGGCGAGGUCUAGGGUUAUCGGGAUGAAAGGUGAGACAUCGGCGAUAGUAUCGGCGAGGGAGAGCUGAGGUAGUUGGGAUGGGGUAGGGUUUUAGGUAGAGGUUCAAAAGAUAGAGGAGCAGUGCCGGUAGCGCGGAACUCGGUGAUAGUGAAGAGAGUAAGUUUAUAUAAGUACAAAGUCUUGGGGUCCAAGUAUAAAAGAGAUAGAUUACAAUUCAAAACUAACAAAAACUGAACCGACUGAAUAUAUUCUAAUAACACUGGCUCUAGACUUGCCCAUCAUAAAAAACAGCAGUGUGUGACAUAACUAAAGGCGGAAACAUUAGAGCAAAAGAAUCCCUUGCUUCACAACUAGACCCAGGUGCUGGUUUGAAUAAAUGCAAGAAAUUGAGCUCCACAUAUGCUUUAAUCUUCAUAGCAAUACAGCGAGGAUGAGGAGCAGCAAUGCCAUUUCGAGAAGCAUUACGGGCGUCCGAGAUGUGCCAUGAACUGACAAUCAGCACUAUGGCUACAUAAUUAGAGGAACGCUGCAAGAAAUCAAACAAUCACUGUUGGGGAGAGAGUAAGUUGGACUGCCUCAGCGUCAAGUCAUAAGAAAAGCUUCAUGUCCUUCACGGGCAUAAGGACAUAACAACGUACAAUGUCCAAUGCUCUCCGUCCGCUCACGGAAACAGCAGGCAUCAGUAGUCGGAGAAGCUUGACACCCGGUGGCAAGCAGUCACGUGCCAAACGCCAAAGGAUGACCUUCAUCUUGUUAGGAGCAAUGAAGGACCAGAUGGCCUUCCAAUCCUUCAUCAGAAAUGCUAUUUGAGAAUUGGCCACGGCCAUUACAGCCUCGAGAGACCAUGAAGCUAGUUGACCGAGCAAGAUUUUACACGGUUACAUGCACUGUGGUAAGGUUAAAUGUAGUGGGAGCGUGCACGGGAGGGAAAGUUGCAUGCAUAGUUGCUCCCCUGUCUCCCUCUUCAAAACCUACAUUCAAACUAGUCUAAUUUUACUAUUUCCGUAUUUGCAAUCGAAUUCAUAGAAAUUACAUUGUCUCGAAGGAAAUUAAACCAUAUCAAAUAUUUCACUAAAUUACAAAAAUAAUGGAAAACCAUUUCGAUUAUUUUACUCAAUUUCAGAAGAAAAAAAUGAAGACAUAUUUUAAUUAUUUCACUCAGCUUAGAAAAUAUUGCACUUCCAUUUUAGACUUAUUUCAUUUAUUUCACAUACAUUAGGCACAUAUUUCGAUGAUGUGACAACAAAUUGAACAUGUACUUCAAAUAUUUUAAUCAAUUUCAGAAAGAAAAAUAAACACAUAUUUUAAGUAUUUUAAGUAUACACUCAAUUUCAGAUAAACUUUAAACACAUAGUCAAUUAUUUCACUCAGUUUUAGAACUUAUUAAACAGACAUUUUAUAUGUAUCUAAGUAUAUCACAUACAUUAGACACAUAUUUCCAUUAUUUUCUCUCAAUUUUAAAAAAUGAAAAUAUAUUUCAAUUAUUCCUAUCAUGUUCCAAAGAAGAAAUUGAGCACAUAAUUCAAUCCAUUUGAAUAUGAUGAUAUUUUCAUAAAAAACAAACACAAAGUUCAAUAUAUCUUAAUAUGAUCAUAUGUUUAACAAAAAUGAACACAUUUUUAGUUAUGUCACUCAAUUUCAUAAGCCAAAAAACAUAACGUCUAUUUCCAUUAUUUCACUCAAUUUCAGAAGGAAAAAACGAACAAUUAACUCAUUUUUAGGAAGGAAAAGGUGGAUACAUAAUUCAAUUAAUUAAUUGAUUGAUUUGUUUAGAGACACAGUGAAAUAUAAAGUAGUUAAAAUAAAUUUAAUAUCAAUCUUGUUUUACAGGCUUCUCGACAGGAAUUCAAAUAUAAAAUAAAAAUAAAAAUGGAGUUUUGAUUUAAAAGAUAUGAAUGUUUAUAUAUGAAAACUAAAUUAAAAGGCAUGUAAUUGUUGGAUGAAGUAAGAAAGAGAAUGGAAGUGCUUUCUCUAUCUCAUGAAUAGUUGCACCCCAACUCUCAAAAGGAAGAUUGGGAUACAUCAAUAUACAUGUGGGUGGAGAUAAAUUAACACGCGCAGCGGAUGGUGGAUUUUUGAUCGGUACAUACAUUUGCCUUUAGAAAAUAACUUUUUUAGCAAGACCUUUAGAAAAUAACUUUGCCAUAGUAAUGAUGAGACCUUCUGUCAGUUGGUUCACUGACGCUCGCAGCGUUAGCGUGCAGGCCGCGGCCCAAUAACUCGCAACGAGUCCGCUUGCAUUUUCAAUUCGCUUCGCUGCCAGCUCGCAUGGUCGCUCGAUCCCCCGUUGAUCGCUAGUUGACCUUUUGACCCUGAAAAUUAACCAUUAGCCAAAACAGGUGACCAAUGACUCUUUAAAAUCGUUUAUUUGGAAAAAAAAUGUUCACAUAUUUGAAAUAUAUUGACCAAUUUGAGAAAGUUUACGGAUUUCAAAAAUGGUUAUCGAAAUUUUAAAAUUGUUCAUGCAUUUGGAAAAAUAUCACAAAUUUCAGGAAAAAAUCAUGAAUUUGAAAUAAAAAACCUAAAUUCUAAAAUAAUCCAUGAAUAUGGAGUGUUCAAAAAUAAAAAUAAACACGAAUUUGUCCACAAAUUUUUAAAAUUUCAUGGAUUUUUAAAACUUUCUUAGAUUCAGAAAAUGUUCAAUAAUCUGAGAAAAUUUUGCUAAUUAGAAUUAUUUCUGUGAUUUUGAAAAUAGUUCACGAAUUUCAGAAAGGAAAAAUAAAAUAAUAAUAAUAAAUAAACGAACGAAAAUCAUUUUAGAAAAACCGCCAUGAGAAAACCUUCCAUGUGGUUCCCAAUACUGGUGCAAAAAGGCCAUAUGGGCCAGCCCACUAUGUCGGCGCUAAAGCUUAACAGGAAUCGGCAAAAUCGCUAAUUGAGUACUCCUUGCAAAGAUCACUCCUAACUCAUCAGUUUGUGAUGAGUGGCGUGAAGUGGCGCGUUGCAUGUGCGUCACUUGUUGCAACCUGAAAUUUUUUCCUUUUUUCAUAAAUUCGUUUAUUCAUAACGCUUUAUCUCUUAAACCGUGCAUCCAAAUUUCGAACCAUUUUCACUGUUGGAUUUCUCGGGCUAGGAUCUUCAAAAGUAGAUCCCAUAUUGAUAGGUUUUGACGAUGAAAAAACCUAAUUGGAAGCGUGGUUUUUUUCCUUUUCUGAAAGAGGCACGGUUGUGCCUCUUGCUAAAGCACAACCGUACCUCUCGCGGAAGGAAAAAAAUAGAAAACAUAUUUUUUUCCGUGCCUCUCGCGGAAGAAAAAAAUUAAAAAUGUGUUUUUUUCUGUUUUCGAGAGGCAGGGUCGUGCCUCUCGCGGAAGGAAAACCGUGUCUCUCGUGGAGGAAAAAAAAGAAACGUUUUUUUUGUUUUCGAGAGGCAUGGUUGUGCCUCUCGCGGAAGCAAAAAAAACGCGUUUAUCGAGCAAAAAAAUCGGUUUUGUGCCUCUCGCGGAAGUAAAACCGUAUCUCUCAUGGAGGAAAAAAAGAAGCGCGUUUUUUUCGUUUUCGAGAGGCAUGGUUGUGCCUCUCGUGGAAGAAAAAAAACACAUUAAUUCGAACGAAAAAAAUAAUUUUUUGUCCAAAAGCUAAAGAAGACCGGUGGAAAACAAAAAAAAAAC
This 19381-nucleotide long non-coding RNA is filed under the name Triticum aestivum (bread wheat). RNAcentral describes it as "long non-coding RNA (TAES_LNC009945)". Lineage: Eukaryota; Viridiplantae; Streptophyta; Magnoliopsida; Poales; Poaceae. The record is from RNAcentral.